RNAcentral lists this non-coding RNA (277 nucleotides) under Phascolarctos cinereus (koala). The record is from RNAcentral. Lineage: Eukaryota; Metazoa; Chordata; Mammalia; Diprotodontia; Phascolarctidae.
GUUGGACAUCACAUAGUGCAUACCUGUAAUGCCAGCCACUAAACACAUGGGUUUCUUGGGCUUGUGAGUUCUUAGAUGCAGUGAGCUAUGUAGGUGUCCUCAUUAGAAUCAGCAUCAUCAUGGUAGGCUCCCAGGAGAGUGAGGGCACCAUGUUGUUUCAGGAAGGACAAACUGGUCCAUGUCAGAAAUGGAGCAGGUCAAAGCUCCCAUGCCAGUCAGUACUGGGAUUGGGCCUUUAAAUAGCCCCUGUACUUUCACAAUGGGGAGAUAUAGUUUU